Molecule: ribosomal RNA, 560 nt
Filed under: uncultured bacterium
Lineage: Bacteria
Description: bacterial SSU rRNA
Rfam family: Bacterial small subunit ribosomal RNA
Source: RNAcentral
GACGAACGCUGGCGGCAGGCUUAACACAUGCAAGUCGAACGCAUCGCAAGAUGAGUGGCAGACGGGUGAGUAACGCGUGGGAACGUACCCUUUACUACGGAAUAACUCAGGGAAACUUGUGCUAAUACCGUAUGUGCCCUUCGGGGAAAGAUUUAUCGGUAAAGGAUCGCCCGCGUUGGAUUAGCUAGUUGGUGGGGUAAAGGCCCUACCAAGGCGACGAUCCAUAGCUGGUCUGAGAGGAUGAUCAGCCACAUUGGGACUGAGACACGGCCCAAACUCCUACGGGAGGCAGCAGUGGGAAUAUUGACAAUGGGCGCAAGCCUGAUCCAGCCAUGCCGCGUGAGUGAUGAAGGCCCUAGGGUUGUAAAGCUCUUUCACCGGUGAAGAUAAUGACGGUAAACCGGAGAAGAAGCCCCGGCUAACUUCGUGCCAGCAGCCGCGGUAAUACGAAGGGGGCUAGCGUUGUUCGGAAUUACUGGGCGUAAAGCGCACGUAGGCGGGUAUUUAAGUCAGGGUGAAAUCCCGGAGCUCAACUCCGGAACUGCCUUUGAUACUGGGUA